Molecule: ribosomal RNA, 253 nt
Filed under: uncultured bacterium
Lineage: Bacteria
Description: partial 16S ribosomal RNA
Rfam family: Bacterial small subunit ribosomal RNA
Source: RNAcentral
UACGGAGGGUGCAAGCGUUGAUCGGAAUUACUGGGCGUAAAGCGCACGUAGGUGGUUUUCUAAGUCAGCUGUGAAAUCCCCGGGCUCAACCUGGGACUUGCAGUUGAAACUGGGAAGCUAGAGUAGGGUAGAGGGGUGUGGAAUUCCAGGUGUAGCGCUGAAAUGCGUAGAUAUCUGGAGGAACAUCAGUGGCGAAGGCGACACCCUGGACUCAUACUGACACUGAGGUGCGAAAGCGUGGGGAGCAAACAGG